AAACUACAGUCACGAGCGGAAGAGUGGAGGAGCUCUGGGGGGGGGCCGCCUAACUUCUAGUGCCGGGGGUCAGGCACGGUGUUAGAUUGCCGCUUAGCCAACAGUGCUGUACGUUACUGGCAAAUUGGCCAGUUCUGUGGCAGUUGAAAAUUGAUACUGAACACUGCUGUGCGCUUCCACUACUUAAUACUGUAAUUCACGGUGGGACUGAAAGUGCUGCUGUCCCAAAAGAAGGGUGUUUCUGGCUUGGCCUUAAGUCAUCACCUUGCCUUUGCCUGGUACUCGCUGGACUGUUGGUAGAGCCUGUUGUUGCUGCCACUGCCCCUGCUUCUAUGUGUUCCUGUGCUUGCUGAUUCAAUCUGGACAUGAAAGCACUGAAGAAGCAUGCACUUUGGAUGAAAUUUGGCUGAAUUCUUAAGACAUAAGAGGUACUUAUUAUUGAAAUUGUUAAUACAGCAAUCCAUGCAUUAGUUAAAAAUAUAAAUAAUAACUUGACAUGGUGUUAGUUGAAUUCUUAGUUCUAGCUGUUAAAAGUUAAUAUUCAUAAUUCUUCCUUUACUGUCUUCUUUUUCAUCCUUAUCCC
RNAcentral lists this long non-coding RNA (583 nucleotides) under Struthio camelus australis. RNAcentral's name for it is "lncRNA (ENSSCUG00000002555.1)". Lineage: Eukaryota; Metazoa; Chordata; Aves; Struthioniformes; Struthionidae. The record is from RNAcentral.